This 260-nucleotide ribosomal RNA is filed under the name uncultured bacterium. Its description in RNAcentral is "partial 16S ribosomal RNA". It matches the Rfam family "Bacterial small subunit ribosomal RNA", at positions 96 to 354 of the family's 1533-position model. The record is from RNAcentral.
CGACGCACGGGUGAGUAACGCGUAUCCAACCUGCCCUUUACUAUGGGACAGCCCGUCGAAAGGCGGAUUAAUACCGUAUGUUGUCAUGUUGAUGCAUAUUUUCAUGACCAAAGGCUUCGGCCGGUAAAGGAUGGGGAUGCGUCUGAUUAGCUUGCCGGCGGGGUAACGGCCCACCGGGGCGACGAUCAGUAGGGGUUCUGAGAGGAAGGUCCCCCACAUUGGAACUGAGACACGGUCCAAACUCCUACGGAAGGCAGCAG